Long non-coding RNA from Dromaius novaehollandiae (emu), 680 nucleotides. RefSeq lists it as uncharacterized. NCBI's taxonomy places the organism in Eukaryota, Metazoa, Chordata, Aves, Casuariiformes, Dromaiidae. The record is from RefSeq and is a predicted model, not a curated record. The transcript is spliced from 3 exons.
ACCAUCCGAGGAGAGUUUCCCAGCCGUGAUGUUCUCCGUCCCUUUUUAGCCUUUCCAAGAUGUGGUGUAUCUCUUCUGCAUCAUGAUGAACAGUGAUUAGAGCUUCCUGUCCACUGUUUUGGAUGCGUUCUAGCAGUCGACGCAGGUCAUCAUGUUGUAGUCGUUUCUUCACCAGUGUGAGAUUCAUUCCAAUGGGGGAGCUGCAGUAGCUGCUAUUGCUCUGAUGCAUCCUGGAGUGCCUUUAGCCACCACGUCCAGCUGUGUGGAGUAAAUAGGCCACUGGUCUACAGUGAGGACCUAGUUUUUGGAUUAGUCGACUCUGGUUCUGGUGUCUGUGGCGGACAGAUGAAUGAACUUUUGCCUUAAAUAUUUCUUGGAACAUAAGGUGCAAGCAAACCAUAACCCCGAACAAGCCCUCUGUUCCCGGCGGGAACAGGACUGAGCUGCUGCGACCCCCAAAAUGGUCUCCCUGCAACCAUUCAGGACACACCAAGCCUGCGCUGAACCAGACCACGAUCGGGCAGAGACUUUGGGACCUGGACUGUAAAUUACUGCUGCUUAGCACAACUUCUGUAAAGCUUGCUUAGCAUGAGUAGCUAAAUUUGCUGAAGCCUUAGGCCGCACUCCCUAGUUCAGUGAGAAAGGGCCCCAGAGCUGGUGCAGGCGGGAAAGACAAGGGA